CUCACGUAUUCACAUACCCGGAAGCUGUCAUGAAGUGUACAGCCCGUUGGUGCAGCACCGGCGGCGUCGUGGCGGCGAUGGAGCGCGCGCAUCGUCACGUGCCAAGGCAAGCCUUUGUGAACCGCACUGCCACGGACGGUGAGGCGGAGCACUCGCACACACCCCGGUACCUCAUUCCGGACCUGCAGCGGUACGCAGAGCGGCAGCAAGAGCACCAGAACGCUCACAAGCAAUCGCUGAGCGAAUUGCCACGGCUGUAUGAACACGCCAUGAGCACCCCUGCCGCCGUGUCACCAUCCCUCGCCCAGUUCAUUCACGCCGCCAAGACCGCCUUCGAAAGCUCCUUGGCGUCCUUUCAGCAUCAAGCAUUGGCCUCGCAGUCUGCGGCCCAAUCGGCCGUCAACGACACCGCUAGGUGUCUGCCACAACCCCCUGUGCAACGGACUGGUGGUGCGAGCCGCAGCGAACUCGAGGCAGCUGUGCGCAGCUACAACCCAACACUCGAUCGGGCACUUAUUCAGCGGAUCGCCGCUCGGCUUGCGAUCUCGGACGCUCUCCGCAUCGCACGUCAGCUUGCUCGCUACCUUCAAGACUCUGCAGCUGUGGCAAGAGAUAAGGGGGAUGCCGGCUACGAUGACGAGCACCAAGUAACCGCAGCGCAGGCAGUGGAACUUCUUCGCCGCGCUGUGGAUGUGUGCCGUGAACGUUAUGUGCAGAAUUCAGCGGACAUGCGUACAACACCACGUCCCACGUCGCCCAGUCUCUGGGCCCUGACAUCAGCGGCCCGUGAAAGUGCUGGGAUUGCAGCGCGCCUUCACAACUCCGCCGCUGCCGCGACAAAACACGCACAUCGACGGCGUCGACAGCUUCAUCGCUGUUUCCUCCGCUACACGAGUGAUGUGCAGGUGAACGAGGUACUGCCCAAUGGCGCAGUCGUCACCUUCACGCACGCGACGCGGCCUGAGGAAGUUGGAAGCCGCACAGGUCCUGCAGAGAGCAAAGGGGGGGAGGGCAACGCCGACACCUCAGCAGCAGCAGCCAAGGCAAAACGAGCUCCGCCCCGCUUUUCGACUCCCGUAUCCUUCCGUGAGUCGCUGGAGUCGUGUCUCACCUCUUCUCCAUCCACUGUGCACCUGCACUUUGUGCUGUACCGUCGCGGCGUUUCCCUGGCAACGGCCAUUGCGGACAUCGUGGAAGCCAGCGAAGGACUUAUCUCCGCGCACAAUGUCAGCGUCAACAUUCACAUACCAGAGAAUGACGAGCACGUUGUUGUGCAGGCUUGCAGCGUUCGUGUGGCACUGCCGGUGUCGACGCAGCCUUGCGGCGUUGAAGACGCCGUGCAACACUGUCUGCACGCCGCCCGCGCCAUUGUGCAGAUCAACCUCGCGAGAGGGACGCCAAGGGUUGCCCUCCAGCUCCUUGAGUGCCGCACAGACGCUUGCGGGGAGCAGCACACCGCGUCGCAGGUGCUCGAUGAGUCGCCGAUGCGGCUGCAGUACGCCCUCCUCCUGCGCGGCUUUGAGCAACGUGGAGGGCCUGUGAACCGCCUCGACCAUGCCUCCCUGGCGUGCGCCAUGUGCGUCCCGAACUACUUCUCCCCGCAUCACUUCGGUGCGGCCGCCGUCCCUUUCUUCCGCACCUACCACGUCACGGAGGCCCUGGUGAAGCGCCGCUACGCGGAUGCGGCUGUCAUGAUGGCCUGCCUCGAGGUGGAAACCGUAGCUGAGGCAAGCACGGAGUUACCACCUUGGCUUGCGCGCGCGUUGCAGCUCUUGUGCCGUGGCGAGGACCGUGAAGGGGUGUGGCAAGCGUGGUGGAUUCACGAGGUACCAGCGGCUACGCGGCGACGCAUGGUUUGCGCGAAGAGCGAUCUGGUAUGGAAUGUGGUGGCGAGCCUCCGGCUUCAGGAGCUCGUGGCGGCGACGGGCGGAUGCCGUGACGUUCUGCUCGCGGCGGCACCGAAGCCUGGCGACUUUGUCUUCCAACCGGAGGAAGCAAGAGACAGUGGUGCGAGGUCAGCAACCCUCGCGCCGCUGGCACUGAGCGCGCCGGUAACGGCGGUGUACAGCCAGGCGCAGGCAGCUCGCUACAGCGUUCAUGACAUUGCGUUACCGCUUGUCUUGGACGCCAGCAGCGAAUUCGAGGGGUGUGAAAGCCUGGCCGUCAUCGAAGCGCAGCUAGGUUUUACCCAUGACCGUCGUCGCCAUUCGUCCCUGCUUCCGUCACAACAGCCGCGCCAAUCGCACACAUCCCUGCCUGCCGUCGCGCAGACAAACGAAACAGUGUUUCGCCCGCUCUUGGUAGAGGCGACCGGCUACCCUCGCGCCACUCGGCCGUGGUGCCGAUCCUUCCCGGAGCCGUCCGUGGGUCCUGCAUUUGGCCGCCCCAAGGCAGCCCUGGAGAGCAAUGCUACCGUUUUUUCCCUCGCCACGGACUGGGAUCUUGCGAGUCGGACAGCAGUAGCCCGCGACUACGCUUCCAAGUCACGCGGGCCGCGCGCGUGUGUGUGGCCGCUAAGUAAGCGUGGUCGCGCGCUCACGGAUCGCCUGCCUGCUGGCCUCAUGACGGUGGCUUCGGCGGAUGGAUCGUCGUUGCUAGGCGGCGCAAGUGCGGCAAACUAUCAUGGGUCCCGUUGCCUCGCCAUUCAUUGCACGCUCCCAGCGCGCGUGUCUCUGGCUAACUUUGUUUCGGAGUUGGCCGCGGUGGAGGACCUGCGUGACUCGCAAGCGUAGAAAAUGGAGCAGUGACACACACACACACACACAGGUGCACCUUUGCCGGUUUGUCACAUACACCUACGGGCUGUUUCUACAAACACACAGCGCUUGCGUUGCUGCAUGCGAGCAUUGCUUGUGAAGAAGCGGCAUCCGACAGCAGUAGGUGCGCUGCAGG
RNAcentral lists this unclassified non-coding RNA (2892 nucleotides) under Leishmania donovani. Its description in RNAcentral is "gene:LdHU3.33.2540(CDS-product:hypothetical_prote in_conserved)". The record is from RNAcentral. Lineage: Eukaryota; Euglenozoa; Kinetoplastea; Trypanosomatida; Trypanosomatidae.